AUUGAACGCUGGCGGCAGGCCUAACACAUGCAAGUCGAGCGAGCGGCGGACGGGUGAGUAAUGUCUGGGAAACUGCCUGAUGGAGGGGGAUAACUACUGGAAACGGUAGCUAAUACCGCAUACUAUCAGAUGAGCCUAGGUCGGAUUAGCUAGUUGGUGGGGUAAAGGCCUACCAAGGCGACGAUCCGUCACUGGUCUGAGAGGAUGAUCAGUCACACUGGAACUGAGACACGGUCUAGACUCCUACGGGAGGCAGCAGUGGGGAAUAUUGGACAAUGGGCGCAAGCCUGAGGCAGCCAUGCCGCGUGUAUGAAGAAGGCCUUCGGGUUGUAAAGUACUUUCAGCGGGGAGGCGUUACCCGCAGAAGAAGCACCGGCUAACUCCGUGCCAGCAGCCGCGGUAAUAC
This 406-nucleotide ribosomal RNA is filed under the name uncultured bacterium. RNAcentral's name for it is "partial 16S ribosomal RNA". It matches the Rfam family "Bacterial small subunit ribosomal RNA", at positions 30 to 526 of the family's 1533-position model. The record is from RNAcentral.